CUAACGAACGUAGGCGGCCUUUAGAAGCUGCAAAAGGUAAAGAAAUAGCUUCUCCUUUAGAGCCUCAAGAAGGAAUGAAGCUCUGCCAACAGUUUGAUUUUAGCCCCAAACUCUGAUCUUCAAAAUUGUCCAAUUAGUAUGGUGUCACCAAUAUAUGGAUCCAUGCGAUUGAUUAUCUGUGGAGUGUCCGGAUGGUCCAGGACCCUUCAGAUUAUAUUACGAUGGAGAACAGGAAAAUUAACCAAAACCUGGGCAAGACUGCGAAUGUGUGCUACUAUCCAUCCCAGUUCUGGAGGCCGGAGUUGGAAAUCAGUUUCACUGGGCACACAUGGAGGUGUUUGAAGGGCUGCCCGUGCCAGAGGCUCUCAGGGAGAAUCCCUUCCUUGUCUGUUCCAGCUCUACCUCCUCCUCUGCUGUGUGAGUAAAACCUCCCUCGGCCUCUUUGAUUAGGAUAAGGUGUAUUUAGUGUCUAGCAGGACAAUCCAGGAAAUUCUUCCCAUCUCAAGAUCCCUAACUUGAUCCCUUCUGCAAAGACCUGCUUUCACUCCCAUCUGCAAACACCAUUUCCGGGUUCCAGGGAUAAGCCCUGACAUCUGUGGGUGGCCGUUAUUCAGUUACCGACAGUGUGGCAUGAUGAAAAUGAAGUGUUAAAACAAGGACUGCAGUAUUGUUUAUUCCAGCAAAUGGUGAGUGGUCCAUCCUUCUCCAAGCCCUUUCUCUUCUUCUUCUCAUGGUCUCUGGCAUCUGGGAGAGUCCACGUGGCCUGGGUUGGGCUAACAGAUACCAGCAGAAGUGAUGCGUACAACUUCCGGCAACCUAGGUGCACUUGUCUCGCCCUCCCUGGGAGCAGAUCCAUCCUCAAACCUGCAGACAAGGAUAAUGCUGUAGUGGGUACUGAGAAAAAAAAAAAAAAAAAAAA
Molecule: long non-coding RNA, 919 nt
Filed under: Homo sapiens (human)
Lineage: Eukaryota; Metazoa; Chordata; Mammalia; Primates; Hominidae
Description: HSALNT0356225
Source: RNAcentral